GCGCCAGGAACACCAAAGUUCUUGGAGGGGGUAUCCGUGCCGAGAGUUCUUCAAAUGCCAUACAGGCGGCUUUCCUGGCAAGCUCAAGGUCUCAUGGCGCGGCAAACCUGAUGAGACUUGGUCGUGAGCCUGUGACAUCGCAUCCAAGGUACAUCUCAUCGGCUGCAGCCUGCAUGGUUUGAGAUAGAACUCUCGGACUCGGAGACCAGUCGACCACGGUGCUCACAAUAGAGCAUUCUGCGAGCUGUUCUGAUCUACUUGCCCCGGAGGUGUACUAGACCUCACCCAUCAUCUCCACCGAUCCUCGCGCGCAUGUCUGGAUGUGAGUGCAGGUUGGCCGGGGUGACUGCACCGUAGUAGUGGACAACAGAUCUGCCAUACCUUUGCCACAAUCAUAUCUGUAAUGUGACAUGUGGGUGGCCCUUGUCUUGCAAAUUCCUUUGU
RNAcentral lists this long non-coding RNA (444 nucleotides) under Setaria viridis. RNAcentral's name for it is "long non-coding RNA (SVIR_LNC010212)". Lineage: Eukaryota; Viridiplantae; Streptophyta; Magnoliopsida; Poales; Poaceae. The record is from RNAcentral.